UACGAAGGGGGCUAGCGUUGCUCGGAAUCACUGGGCGUAAAGCGCACGUAGGCGGAUCUUUAAGUCAGAGGUGAAAUCCCAAGGCUCAACCUUGGAACUGCCUUUGAUACUGGGGAUCUCGAGUCCGGUAGAGGUGAGUGGAACUGCGAGUGUAGAGGUGAAAUUCGUAGAUAUUCGCAAGAACACCAGUGGCGAAGGCGGCUCACUGGCCCGAUACUGACGCUGAGGCACGAAAGCGUGGGGAGCAAACAGG
Molecule: ribosomal RNA, 253 nt
Filed under: uncultured bacterium
Lineage: Bacteria
Description: partial 16S ribosomal RNA
Rfam family: Bacterial small subunit ribosomal RNA
Source: RNAcentral